CAGCCGCCGCGGGAAUACGAAGGGGGCUAGCGUUGUUCGGAUUUACUGGGCGUAAAGCGCACGUAGGCGGACUUUUAAGUCAGGGGUGAAAUCCCGGGGCUCAACCCCGGAACUGCCUUUGAUACUGGAAGUCUUGAGUAUGGUAGAGUUGAGUGGAAUUCCGAGUGUAGAGGUGAAAUUCGUAGAUAUUCGGAGGAACACCAGUGGCGAAGGCGGCUCACUGGACCAUUACUGACGCUGAGGUGCGAAAGCGUGGGGAGCAAACAGGAUUAGAUACCCCCGUAGUCCCUGUCUCUUAUAC
This 301-nucleotide ribosomal RNA is filed under the name uncultured bacterium. RNAcentral describes it as "partial 16S ribosomal RNA". It matches the Rfam family "Bacterial small subunit ribosomal RNA", at positions 509 to 807 of the family's 1533-position model. The record is from RNAcentral.